GGAGGUGCCCGUGCAAAACUCAGGGAGGUCACAGUCACCCAUGGCCUGGCGGCACAGCGCUCCAGCCGGCUUCAGCUGCGCAGGCACGCAGCAGUCCCCGUGGGCGCACUGGGCCCCCGGGCGCAGCGAGCAGUUUGUGAGCUCCUCGGCCUCUAGGCAGCGGCUCGCAACUCCGGCUCCGCCCAGGCUGGAUUGCGGCCGACCC
Molecule: long non-coding RNA, 205 nt
Filed under: Homo sapiens (human)
Lineage: Eukaryota; Metazoa; Chordata; Mammalia; Primates; Hominidae
Description: long non-coding RNA NONHSAT078242
Source: RNAcentral